Molecule: non-coding RNA, 88 nt
Organism: Mycena maculata
Lineage: Eukaryota; Fungi; Basidiomycota; Agaricomycetes; Agaricales; Mycenaceae
Source: the annotation of a GenBank genome assembly
GGUUUUGUGGGGUAGGGGUUAGCCCUUCAGAUUCUGAUGUCGUCCGAAUUUGCUUCUGACAAUCCCGGUUCGAUUCCGGGCAAAACCU